RNAcentral lists this small RNA (127 nucleotides) under Marmota monax (woodchuck). Lineage: Eukaryota; Metazoa; Chordata; Mammalia; Rodentia; Sciuridae. The record is from RNAcentral.
GCUGGGCAUCCUGGUGAAUGCCUGUAAUAUCAGCAGCUUGGGAGGCUGAGGCAGGAGGAUCACAAGUUCAAAGCCAGCCUCAGCAAUUUAGUAAGGCCCUAAGCAACUUAGGGAUACCCUGUCUCAA